Molecule: ribosomal RNA, 244 nt
Filed under: uncultured Staphylococcus sp.
Lineage: Bacteria; Bacillati; Bacillota; Bacilli; Caryophanales; Staphylococcaceae
Description: partial 16S ribosomal RNA
Rfam family: Bacterial small subunit ribosomal RNA
Source: RNAcentral
CGGCGGACGGGUGAGUAACACGUGGAUAACCUACCUAUAAGACUGGGAUAACUUCGGGAAACCGGAGCUAAUACCGGAUAAUAUAUUGAACCGCAUGGUUCAAUAGUGAAAGACGGUUUUGCUGUCACUUAUAGAUGGAUCCGCGCCGCAUUAGCUAGUUGGUAAGGUAACGGCUUACCAAGGCAACGAUGCGUAGCCGACCUGAGAGGGUGAUCGGCCACACUGGAACUGAGACACGGUCCGG